GGGAGCUCGACGUGGUGCAGCAGGCGGUGGCAGAGCUGAACGACCCCAGCCAGCCCAACGACGAGGGCAUCACGGCCCUGCACAAUGCCAUCUGCGGGGCCAACUACGCCAUCGUGGACUUCCUGAUCGCCAGCGGGGCCGACGUCAACUCCCCCGACAGCCACGGAUGGACCCCCCUGCACUGCGCGGCCUCGUGCAACGACACGGGCGUGUGCGUGGCCCUGGUGCGCCACGGGGCCGCCAUCUUCGCCAGCACCGGCUCCGACGGCUCCCUGGCCGUG
Corapipo altera (White-ruffed manakin) is the source of this 281-nucleotide long non-coding RNA. RefSeq lists it as uncharacterized. The transcript is spliced from 3 exons. Lineage: Eukaryota; Metazoa; Chordata; Aves; Passeriformes; Pipridae. The record is from RefSeq and is a predicted model, not a curated record.